UGGCGACGGGUGAGUAACGCGUGGAAAACCUGCCGUAUACUGGGGGAUAACACUUAGAAAUAGGUGCUAAUACCGCAUAAGCGCACAGCUUCGCAUGAAGCGGUGUGAAAAACUCUGGUGGUAUACGAUGGUUCCGCGUCUGAUUAGCUAGUUGGUGGGGUAAUGGCCUACCAAGGCAACGAUCGGUAGCCGGCCUGAGAGGGUGAACGGCCACAUUGGGACUGAGACACGGCCCAAACUCCUACGGGAGGCAGCAG
RNAcentral lists this ribosomal RNA (257 nucleotides) under uncultured bacterium. RNAcentral describes it as "partial 16S ribosomal RNA". It matches the Rfam family "Bacterial small subunit ribosomal RNA", at positions 96 to 354 of the family's 1533-position model. The record is from RNAcentral.